CCAUCCCCCUUCCCUCUCUUCUCUCUCUCUCCACACUUCCCCUUUCCUCACUCUCCAACUCACAGGUUCACAGAUUUGAAAUCCGAGAGGGCGACGAGUCGUUGCUUUGGAUUUAUGUUGGCGCAGGGCAAAAAUUGGCUGAUGUACGUGCAAGGGUCGAGAGGGAUGGAGUUGAAAUAAGUAUUGAGCUUCAAGACUUGAUUGCAAGCGUUUCUCUUGACUGAAAAAUGCAGGCAAAUAAGCUUUUUCUCUUUAAGUCCCCUCAAUCUUUUUUGGUAUUGCAAUUUUGAUUCCUCCACUUUUAAUUAUUCUCUCCACUUAUAAUUAUUCUCUCCGUACACGAAAAAACUUUCUAAGAUGGAAUGACACGAGUUUUAAGAAAAAGAUUGCUGAUUGUACUAAGAAUAAAGAAAAAAUUAUUGAGUGUAUUGAGAGUGAUAAAAAUAUGUUAUAGUAAUUAAUAUUGAGAG
Molecule: long non-coding RNA, 470 nt
Filed under: Salvia miltiorrhiza (redroot sage)
Lineage: Eukaryota; Viridiplantae; Streptophyta; Magnoliopsida; Lamiales; Lamiaceae
Description: long non-coding RNA (SMIL_LNC013359)
Source: RNAcentral